Molecule: ribosomal RNA, 164 nt
Filed under: uncultured bacterium
Lineage: Bacteria
Description: partial 16S rRNA
Rfam family: Bacterial small subunit ribosomal RNA
Source: RNAcentral
UAGGGAAUCUUCGGCAAUGGACGAAAGUCUGACCGAGCAACGCCGCGUGAGUGAAGAAGGCUUUCGGAUCGUAAAACUCUGUUGGUAGAGAAGAACGUUGGUGAGAGUGGAAAGCUCAUCAAGUGACGGUAACUACCCAGAAAGGGCGGCUAACUACGCGCCAC